This 85-nucleotide transfer RNA is filed under the name bacterium. Its description in RNAcentral is "tRNA-Tyr". It matches the Rfam family "tRNA". From Rfam's summary of the family: Transfer RNA (tRNA) molecules are approximately 80 nucleotides in length. Their secondary structure includes four short double-helical elements and three loops (D, anti-codon, and T loops). The record is from RNAcentral.
GGGCGGGUACCCAAGCGGCCAACGGGGGCAGGCUGUAAACCUGCUGGGCUUGCGCCCUACGUAGGUUCAAAUCCUACCCCGCCCA